UNUGGGCCGUUACUGACGCUGAGGAGCGAAAGCGUGGGGAGCGAACAGGAUUAGAUACCCUGGUAGUCCACGCUGUAAACGUUGGGCACUAGGUGUGGGGGGCCUUUUCCGGGUUNUCCGCGCCGUAGCUAACGCAUUAAGUGCCCCGCCUGGGGAGUACGGCCGCAAGGCUAAAACUCAAAGGAAUUGACGGGGGCCCGCACAAGCGGCGGAGCAUGCGGAUUAAUUCGAUGCAACGCGAAGAACCUUACCAAGGCUUGACAUGGGCUGGAUUGCUUCGGAGACGGGGUUUCCCUUUUUGGGCUGGUUCACAGGUGGUGCAUGGUUGUCGUCAGCUCGUGUCGUGAGAUGUUGGGUUAAGUCCCGCAACGAGCGCAACCCUUGUCUCGUGAUGCCAGCACGUUGUGGUGGGGACUCGCGGGAGACUGCCGGGGUUAACUCGGAGGAAGGUGGGGAUGACGUCAAAUCAUCAUGCCCCUUAUGUCUUGGGCUUCACGCAUGCUACAAUGGCCGGUACAGUGGGUUGCGAUGCUGUGAGGCGGAGCGAAUCCCUGAAAGCCGGUCUCAGUUCGGAUCGGUGUCUGCAACUCGACACCGUGAAGUUGGAGUCGCUAGUAAUCGCAGAUCAGCAGCGCUGCGGUGAAUACGUUCUCGGGCCUUGUACACACCGCCCGUCACGUCAUGAAAGCUGGCAACACCCGAAGCCCGUGGCCUUAUGG
This 719-nucleotide ribosomal RNA is filed under the name uncultured bacterium. RNAcentral describes it as "bacterial SSU rRNA". It matches the Rfam family "Bacterial small subunit ribosomal RNA", at positions 728 to 1441 of the family's 1533-position model. The record is from RNAcentral.